AAGGCUGGAAUGCAUCUGUGUCCAAAGCUCCGGCGCCCGAGGAUGAGUCUGCGGCCUAUCAGGUAGUAGUCAGGGUCACGACCUGACUAGCCAGCGACGGGUACGGGCCUUGAGAGAGGUCGCCCGGAGAUGGACUCUGAGACACGAGUCCAGGCCCUACGGGGCGCAGCAGGCGCGAAAACUUCGCAAUGCAGGAAACUGUGACGAGGGAACUCCAAGUGUCCAUGCAUUGCAUGGACUGUUUACCAGCCUAAAAAGCUGAUAGAGUAAGGGGUGGGAAAGACCGGUGCCAGCCGCCGCGGUAACACCGGCACCUCAAGUGGUAGCCACUAUUAUUGGGCCUAAAGCGUUCGUAGCCGGCUUGGUUAAUUCCUGGGUAAAUCGUACCGCUUAACGGUGCGGAUUCCGGGGACACUGCCAGGCUUGAGACCGGGGGAGAUCAGAGGUACUUGCGGGGGAGCGGUGAAAUGUUGUAAUCCCGCAGGGACCACCAAUGGCGAAGGCAUCUGAUCAAAACGGCUCUGACGGUGAGGGACGAAACCCUGGGGCGCAAACGGGAUUAGAUACCCCGGUAGUCCAGGGCGUAAACGC
Molecule: ribosomal RNA, 591 nt
Filed under: uncultured archaeon
Lineage: Archaea
Description: bacterial SSU rRNA
Rfam family: Archaeal small subunit ribosomal RNA
Source: RNAcentral